Molecule: ribosomal RNA, 441 nt
Filed under: uncultured bacterium
Lineage: Bacteria
Description: partial 16S ribosomal RNA
Rfam family: Bacterial small subunit ribosomal RNA
Source: RNAcentral
CCUACGGGUGGCAGCAGUGGGGAAUAUUGGGCAAUGGAGGAAACUCUGACCCAGCAACGCCGCGUGAAGGAUGAAGGUUUUCGGAUUGUAAACUUCUGUUGCGAGGGAUGGAGAAUGACGGUACCUCGUGCGGACGCCCCGGCCAAAUACGUGCCAGCAGCCGCGGUUAUACGUAGGGGGCAAGCGUUGUCCGGAAUGACUGGGCGUAAAGGGAGUGUAGGCGGCCUUUUAAGUUAUAUGUGAAAGCCCCGGGCUUAACCGAGGAACUGCAUAUAAAACUGGAGGGCUGGAGUGCAGGAGAGGUAAGCGGAAUGUGUAGGGUAGCGGUGGAAUGCGGAGAUAUUAGGCAGAACACCGGAGGCGAAGGCGGCUUACUGGACUGUAACUGACGCUGAGGCUCGAAAGCGUGGGGAGCAAACAGGAUUAGAUACCCUGGUAGUC